RNAcentral lists this long non-coding RNA (1328 nucleotides) under Cyanistes caeruleus (blue tit). Its description in RNAcentral is "lncRNA (ENSCCEG00000011284.1)". Lineage: Eukaryota; Metazoa; Chordata; Aves; Passeriformes; Paridae. The record is from RNAcentral.
CGGAGCUUUCUGGAAGGAGGUGCAGCCGUUCACACAGCAUGGAAACAACCACCAAAAUCCCUAUUUGUGUGCCUUGUGAAUGAAUCUGAAGACCUGAUCCAAACCUGAUUAGUAUACUGGAAAAAAUAAUUUAAAAACUCCUUACUGACUUGGCUGGGCGUUUCCUCUUGAGGUUUGGACCUUGGCCUAAUUUAGCAGUGAUGUUUUUCUCCUAAGUAUCAGAUAGUGCUUUUCAUACUUGAUAUUCUUUGUGUGUUCCUUUCAGUCUGGUGAAAGUACAUUCCCAUUUACAGGGCAAAAGUUUGAGUUCUUCUAAUAGUGACUUUUUGUAAUUGUCAUCUGUGGAUGUAAUGUUUUUAGAUAAGUUGUUCUCCCAGUACGAAAAUGUCAUUGUGGUUUUCAAAAACAUCACAAUUUUAAAUUUGCAAUUCAAUAAAUCAUUUCAGUCUUUGUGUGCUGCAAGUCACCGGGCAAGUGAUCUUUAAUGCCUUAUGCAUUAAAAAGCAAAGAGAACUGAGAACAGAGUCUCAAAUUCACAACUUGAUAAGGUUUGGAACAUGAACAACACAGCUUAAAUGUGAAGUUUAGGGCCCAGAAAACCUUGACUGUAAUGCUAUUAUCUUGCUUCAAAAGCUGUAGAAAUCAGGAAAGGCUUGCACAUGAAAAGCAGUUAACAAGGAAGAAGCUUCUUCAGCUGAUGCCUCAUUUGAGAGCCUGAAUCUACUAAUUCUCCUCCUGACUAUCUUCAGCUGUUUCAUGCUGUAUUUCAGAGGGUGGUUUCUUGCUGUUUCCAUCAGGUGUGCCCCUGCUUUUUUUGAGGAGGAGGAAAAGUAAAGUAUCAGUCAGACUGCAGAAUGCUCCUUAUGCUAUGAAGUUGUGCAUCUCCAUAUGUAAGAUUUGGAAGUCCCUGGAUGGUGUGCAGAAGUCUGUUUUGCCAGAACAAAGGGAAUGCUGUUUCUCUGCAUUAUUUCAAAUAAAUCCAGAGUCCCUGUUUGCUACCAGUCAUCCUCCAGCACUAGAGAGGUGUUAUGAUCUAGUUAUUAAAAUUAUUAGAAAUGCCUCUGCUCAAUUUAAAGUGCAAAUGAGACCAUAUGCCAAAGUUAAUAGUAUGGAUUUUGUAUAGUAAAUAUGAGAGAGGGAGAAAGAAAUAGAAAAAGUGGUGGGUGGAGAGAAAGAGUGACGGAGACAGAUUAAAUAGAAAAAUCACCACUCUGUGGAUCCCAGUGGUGUCCCAUUGAUCCUCUCCAUCUGGUCUUGGUGGUGAGGGUCCCCCAAAACCACAGAGUUCAAUGGGUUAAUAUACAUUUGGGCUGGGUGGGAAGGCCAAA